GAAAUUUUCUGAAAUAGGCUUCUGGGUUUUUAUUCAAAACAACAUGGUGGCAGCUGCCACUUGGUUUCUCUAUGCCCGGGCCAUCUGGGCCAGCAGGGACCAGUGCCGUCAGCAACUAGGAGGGAAGUUCAUUCACACCAUAGAAACUGUACAGCCACUCGGAGUGCGGUAGUCACGGCAGCAGGGCCAGGCUGAGGGCUUCCUGGAGGAGGAAGGCCCCCAGGCCCCAGCUAAGCCCAGGCUCCACCAGGAACACUGAUUAUUGCACGAGGACAAAAAGAGUAUGUGUAUCUGGGCUAAAGAGCGGCUUCUAAGACCCCAAGCCCUUACACAACGCAGCAAAGAGGGCCGGAGGUGGCCCUGGAAACAAAAGGCUCUACGGGAAGGAUCUGGGGGAAAGACGGGCCGACAGGCUGAUACUGUGCCCACUUCAUUCUUUAGGGGGCUGCCAGGUGCAAAGAAGGCCGGGCAGGGGACAGGAAGAGGGUUUGGCCCCGGCAGGUUACAGGUCCAUCUGUGCAGAUGCCACGGUGCCUGCAGCCACCACUCUGUACAGCCCCGCAAACAGAUGGCUUGGGGUAUCGGGCACCAAGUUCCCCACUCUCGCUGGGGCCAGAUCUGUGUGAGUUAGGGUAAGUUUGUGCUUUUGUGAUGAACAGGUCCCAGGAUCAGGAGGGCAGAGGGGCCACUCACCCAACCCUUAUCCAUUUUGGCUUGUCCGAACCAGCCAGUCACAGCUCCCCUGACCCCCUAACUCCUGUGCUCCCAGAAACAAAGCCAAGGGCCUGGGAACAGCAUCCGGAGCCCUCCAGGAAUACGCCCCACCUCCCACGACCACAGCCCCGCAGCGCACCCCCCAAGCCAGCCUCUCCCUUCAGCUAUUCCCACCGCUAGACACACCCUGCUCUAGCCUGUCAGCUCCGCUCGGGCCAGUCCCUUUGCCUAGCCUGUCCUCCCCACGUGUCUGCUCAUCCGGGGACACCGGUUCAGCGUAAGGGGAUGGCUUCAUGUGGGACACACCAGGAUGCGUUCCCUGCCCAGCCGCUUAUCACCUGGUGACGCCGGGAAAGUCACUUCCCGGUCCGUGCGUGGAACAGCAGGGCACACCGCUCAGGGCUGCCACGCAGAUUAAAGAUGACGCAUUAAAAUGGACGCUGUUGACAGGUGUCAGAGGCCAACCCUUGAGCCCCAAUCCGUCCUCUAUUUGGUCUUUCCAGGUCACACGUUCCCCUCCGGAGUUCCAGCACUCAUGUCCCUCCAGGAACGCGCUGACGUGCACACCUCACGUGCAUGUGCGGGGAGGGAGGGGGAGACAGAGCUCCCUACGCCCUCUUCUUCCCCGGAUGAGCACCCCUGUCACAACCCAACAUGGCAAGGGAAGCAGCACAAGGUGGGCUGGGGCCAAGGAGGACGCGACCCCAGGCCUACCUGCUCCCCAACAGCCCCCCCACCGAGGCUGCAUCCUGGGAGGGGGUUCAGUGCUCGGGGAUCACCUGGUAUCCUCCCAGGGGCCCACCACCCCCACUUCUAGGGGAGGAGAGCCAAGCUCCCGAGGUUCAAGGGCUGAUGCGGGUCUGGCCACCAUGCUGGCCCAGCCGUGGUGCCAGCAGAGACCCCCGGGCAGGUUUUGCCUUCUGAACCCACGCCUUUUGACCGCUGGGUGCGCUUUUCCACAUCCCACAUAAUCAGGUUCUGGCCCCCUGCUGGACUGCAGACUCUGCUGCCAGGGCACUGAGGGAUCCUGGGCUGCCAGCCACCUUAACCUCUCCAGGGCUCAAUUCCUCGUGUGGGAAGUGGGCCUGCCCACCCUUCCCCACCCCGCCACCAGCUCCUAAGGGCAGGGCUCAGCAGACCACCAAGCCUGCGUCCCUCGCUGCCUCCUCCCUCUGCAGCAGUGCCCAGGCCCCAAGCACCCAGAAGACACCCGGAGCCCAUCCACGCAGCCAACCACCCGGUUCCACUUGCCAGCCUGACCCGAAGGCAAGUUCUGUAAGGUCAGGGUUUGGGAACGAGGACCAGGUCCCUGCAGCUGGGCCCAGCUGAAGCCAUCUCCGAGGAGGUCCCACAAAUGCAAAGGGCCUGGUUAUUGCUGGAAGUGUAGCGUCUCCCAAACUCGCAGCCUUUCCCGCCCCAGGGCGCUGCCUGUCUGCAGACCACCUGUACCACCACGUUCCCAAUCGUCUUAAGGUGACCCUGAAUCCAAUCACUUCUGAAAACUUACCCUUGACCUAAGCAAUGUCUGUGAAGUCAUGGGCUCAAUGGACUGUUUAUUUCCUAAUAAAUACGGGGGGGGGGGGGAUGCAUAACUAUUCAAAUAAAAAAGAGUCAUCUGUGCACCCACUUGGGAAGCACGGCUAGAGUGAAACCUGAUCUGCAGCCUGUGAAAAUGAUGGGGGGCAGGGGAGUGAGGCUGGUCCCAGGGCUAGCAGGUGCCCCCACCCCUGCUUACAAUCCUGUCAGGUCCCCCUUCCCUGAACUCCUUCCCCUGAACUCCACUGGAGGGGGCAGAGAUGCCUGGGGGCCCGCGGGGUGGGGGGGCAUGACCUCCUGGCUCAGGGUCCACCUGGAGGAUAAAAGGUGGUAAGAAACGACCACCCGCCACCGCUGGCUGCAUUAGCCCAGGGCGCCCGCAGGGCAUCAGCCAGCACAGACCACGGGCCCCCCUGAUUUCCAGGCAUCUCCCGCCCUGCUCAGUACCCUCUACCCCUCCUCUUUCCUGCUGCCUCCGUGCCCACCCUCGGUCUUCCUGGGGGGGGCAGAGCCACAGCAGACCCCCACCCCUGGAGGUGCCCUGCCCCCUGGCUGAGCCCCCUGCCCAGCCUCCCCGAGCUGCCCUCCACCCCCCACCCCUGCCCUAAGAAAUUACGACUAUUCACCUCUGAUUUUUCUAAAGAAAUACAUCUAACUGGUUGACUAAGAGUGUGCUCUGGGGCAUCUACAAAAGACUGCUCACAACAACUAGACAGUCAGGAACAAGACAGACACCCCGAUACGUGGGGGCGGGGGGGGGAUCUUAGCGGCGCUUCUUCGUUAAAGGAAAAGAAAAGAACGCACCCUGAAUUUCACCUCUUGGGAGCCUGUCUCCCCAGCCACAGGAACUUCAGAGGCCUGAGAGCAUCUCCUCCGCUCCUCCCAGCCCAGGGGACGUACCAAAGAGCUCGGCUGCUGACACCCCCGCGGGACCACCUGCCCUGGGGUAGGUCGGCCGGGUCCUUCAGCGUCGGGCAAAAGCCCUGCCUGGCGGCCGGCCC
This 3251-nucleotide long non-coding RNA is filed under the name Canis lupus familiaris (dog). RNAcentral's name for it is "lncRNA (ENSCAFG00845021178.1)". Lineage: Eukaryota; Metazoa; Chordata; Mammalia; Carnivora; Canidae. The record is from RNAcentral.